CGCUCGGCUGCUCGCCUUCCCUUUGUGUCCGCGCCCGUCGCCGGCGCGUCACAAAGACCCCGGCCCACCCGAUACCUCCUAAAGACUUCUGUGAAUGGGGCCUAUAGAAACGGGCAAUCUGAUCAAUACAACAAGUGCCACCUCAGCAUGCUUCACUUCAGACUGUGUCCAGAGACUUCAGGUGUGGAAUGACAACCCUUCAGCUUCAUCACUCGGCCACCAGGUUCUGGAUGCCAGCAAGAUGCCGACCAGACUUCCCUGGACAGACGACCCCAUCAAUGUGUCCUGGAGCUCCGCUUCCCCAGAGCCCCACCCUACUAGGGAAAGAGAGGAGCAGGCUGGGAGUAUGGAUCGACCUGUCAAAGCCCAUGUUUAGUGGGCAAGCAAUUACAGAAGCCAGACCUUCCACCUUCUGCAGUCCACAACGAUCCUGGAUCCAUACUCCCAGAGAGAUAAAGAAUGGGAAGGCUUUCAGGGGAGGGGAUAGGAUAUGGAGAUCGGGUUAUGGGAAUUGUGCAGAAUUGUACCCCUCUUAUUCUAUGGUUUUGUUAAUGUCUCCUUUCCUAAAUAAAAAAAAAAAGAAAGAAAGAAACAGGCAAUCUGGGAUGUGAGGGCCAUCUGGCUGCGACAUCUGUCACUGAUCACCAGGGUUGAUUCGGCUGAUCUGGCUGGCUAAGCGGGUGUCCCCUUCCUCCCUCACCACUCCAUGUGCGUCCUGUCUCUCCUG
Molecule: long non-coding RNA, 727 nt
Organism: Erinaceus europaeus (western European hedgehog)
Lineage: Eukaryota; Metazoa; Chordata; Mammalia; Eulipotyphla; Erinaceidae
Exons: 3
Source: RefSeq, a predicted model, not a curated record